UACGUAGGUAGCGAGCGUUAUCCGGAUUUAUUGGGUUUAAAGGGUGCGUAGGCGGCUUAGUAAGUCGGUGGUUAAAGGUAGUCGCUUAGCGAUUUUACAUGCCACCGAUACUGUUGAGCUUGAGUUAUUUGGAGGCAGCUAGAAUUUCCGGUGUAGCGGUGAAAUGCAUAGAUACCGGAAGGAAUACCAAUUGCGAAGGCAGGUUGCUACAAAUAUACUGACGCUGAUGCACGAAAGCGUGGGGAUCAAACAGG
This 254-nucleotide ribosomal RNA is filed under the name uncultured bacterium. RNAcentral's name for it is "partial 16S ribosomal RNA". It matches the Rfam family "Bacterial small subunit ribosomal RNA", at positions 524 to 776 of the family's 1533-position model. The record is from RNAcentral.